RNAcentral lists this unclassified non-coding RNA (45 nucleotides) under synthetic construct. Its description in RNAcentral is "RNA synthetic from synthetic construct (PDB 5C0X, chain R)". The record is from RNAcentral.
CCCCCGAGAGGGGGUUUUUUUUUUUUUUUUUUUUUUUUUUUUUUU